Molecule: ribosomal RNA, 181 nt
Filed under: uncultured yeast
Lineage: Eukaryota; Fungi
Description: partial 26S rRNA
Rfam family: Eukaryotic large subunit ribosomal RNA
Source: RNAcentral
UGCAUGCAUAUCAAUAAGCGGAGGAAAAGAAACCAACAGGGAUUGCCUUAGUAACGGCGAGUGAAGCGGCAAAAGCUCAAAUUUGAAAUCUGGCACCUUCGGUGUCCGAGUUGUAAUUUGAAGAAGGUAACUUUGGAGUUGGCUCUUGUCUAUGUUCCUUGGAACAGGACGUCACAGAGGG